RNAcentral lists this ribosomal RNA (254 nucleotides) under uncultured bacterium. RNAcentral describes it as "partial 16S ribosomal RNA". It matches the Rfam family "Bacterial small subunit ribosomal RNA", at positions 524 to 776 of the family's 1533-position model. The record is from RNAcentral.
UACGAAGGGGGCUAGCGUUGCUCGGAAUCACUGGGCGUAAAGCGCACGUAGGCGGACUCUUAAGUCGGUGGUGAAAUCCUUGAGCUCAACUCCAGAACUGCCUCCGAUACUGGGAGCCUUCGAGUCCGGGAGAGGUGAGUGGAACUGCGAGUGUAGAGGUGAAAUUCGUAGAUAUUCGCAAGAACACCAGUGGCGAAGGCGGCUCACUGGCCCGGUACUGACGCUGAGGUGCGAAAGCGUGGGGAGCAAACAGU